CCCUCGAUGGUCUAGUUGGUUAUGGCGUUCGGCUGUAAUGGAAAUUGUAACCGAAAAGUCACCAGUUCGAUUCUGGUUCGAGGGA
RNAcentral lists this transfer RNA (85 nucleotides) under Aspergillus saccharolyticus JOP 1030-1. It matches the Rfam family "tRNA". From Rfam's summary of the family: Transfer RNA (tRNA) molecules are approximately 80 nucleotides in length. Their secondary structure includes four short double-helical elements and three loops (D, anti-codon, and T loops). The record is from Rfam by way of RNAcentral. Lineage: Eukaryota; Fungi; Ascomycota; Eurotiomycetes; Eurotiales; Aspergillaceae.